GUGGUUUCUGUGGAUUAUAUUCCAAUUCUGUGAGGAACUUUAUGGCAGCCUUUUCUCCUUUUCAGCGUGCGUCGGACACCUGUCUACUAAGGACAUACCUUGCACCAGGAGCUGUGCGAGCAGCUGGCGAUCCUAGGAUAGAAGAAGGCGGUCCCGGGGGAGGAGACAAGGGACAGAGGGAGAAGAAGAGAGAGAAUCUUAAACAGGCUCCAGGCCCAGCACAGAGCCCCAGUCCCCUCAUUCCUCAAAAGUCAGUUCGAACCUGACCCCUGGAGGACGUCUUCUCAGUCUCGUCUUCCUUGGCAAGUUUUGAUCAAAGGUCACCUUCUGAAUGUCUCCAGAAACCUCAAAUCCCUGGCACGAUGCCACCCACACAACAGAAGGCUCUCCGUUGGCAGGAACAUUAUUUUACCGGAAACUCUUGGCUCGCCAGAUGAGAACCAUUUUACUCACCAUCCUGCUUUCCCGGUGGUUUUCUCUUUUCUCCAAGAUCUGAUCUGAAGCCUGUAGAAAUGAGAGCCUUUGAGGCUAAGGGGGAGGCGGGGCCUGGAAGCCAAGUGAGCCGUAAGGAAGUUGAAGCGAGCGAGUCUCCCUUAGAGAUGAGAUUUUCUAGAGAGAGAUUUGGCAAUAAAAUAGAGAUCUCAGCAGCUUAAGGGGGGCAACAGAAUCCGGAGAAAGGUUUGAUCAUAUUAUUUGUCCCUUUUAUCAUGAUUAGCAGCGUGGUGAGACCCUGAGUAUGUUUGUCGUCCAAAAAUGAGGGGCUAGUGAACGUAGCAGGGAGGCUUGAUGCAGGUUGCUGUUAGGAGGGUAGAGGGACAGGUCAGCAGCCCUAGAGCUUUGGAAAGGAAAAAGUCCAUCCGUUAGGUUGAGAGAAUUAACAUGAAAUAGCCUCCAUCUUCUCAGUAAAGCAGGCAGGAAGGAAGAGAAGCUCCAAGGUCACUCCUUGGGUCACCCCAUAGGUUUUGACUGCUUUGUUCAGCACUAUAUCCCUCAGAAGAGUAAGACACCUAGUAGGUGCUCAAUAAAUACUUGUUGAAUGGGGGAUUUGAUUGAAACUGUUUGAAAGAAGAUGGGAAGAUCUCCAAGCAUAGACUCAGUAGGUAAGGUGAAUAGCUGUUCUAUAGCCUGAUCAGACCCAGAGCGGGUUUCAUUGGGGGCAUUUACAUUCCUUCCAUGCCCAUAAGCACUGUUUUCAAUAAAGGGAACAGAUGUAGGUCUUGUUGCCAAAUGAUACCCUCAUGCCCUGGCAGCCCAUGUGUGGUCAUCUCCAAAGCUUUAAUAAACCCCGUCGCCGCCUGGUGGGAGGGCAGGGUUUCACAUGUGGCUCUUGGGAUGAGUUGUCCUUUGGGGCAGUACCUGUAAUUAAUUCUCCUCUUUGGUCCUGCCCUUCUAGAAAGCUGGCAACCCUUGAAAACAAGCUACGACCAUCCCGAGCUCUCUCACUGUUCAGCGUUGGCCCCAGUGAGGGGGUUAAGGCUGUAUUCUUCUAUUUCUUCUUGGAAAAUGAAGUCAGGCCAGAUUAAGGUUGCCACUGACAAGGCCAUGUGAGCAGCAUCCUCCUGGUGGUGGCCGCAAUGCUCUGUACCUUGUAAAGCUCUGUGCGCAUCCUAUCCAUCACUUACCAUCAGGAUGAUCCCAAAGCGGAAGGCGCAUACGUCUUAAGUGAAUGGUCACAAAGCGGAUACACCUGUGCACCCACCACCCAGGUAAAGGACUAGAACAUGACCAGCAUCCCUGAAGCCCUUCCCCAGGCCUCUCCAGGUCCCUGACCUCUCUUCCCCAAGGGAGCAGACUGUUGCCAUGUUACAAGGACAUCAGGAUCGCAAACAUUAGGCAACAAGGAGCUUCUGCUUUUUUGCAGAAGCAGAAUGGACUUUGUCCACACAUGCCACAAUCUACAGAUGCUAUUGCCCCUGCCUUGGCAUGAGAGCCAGCUGGGAUGUUCCCUGGUCCUCCGUGCUCUCAGGGUUUCAGGAUUGACAUCGCCUCCCACAUGGUGAGCCCCUGGGCAGUAAGGUCUUCUAUGUCUGCUGUUGAGGCCAUGUAUGGCCUCAGGCUGGAAGGGACCUUGAGGUAAUGUAGGGAGUUUACUUAUAUCUGUCCUAAUCUUUAUGGGUCCUGUGCUUCUUAUUCUUCCAAUGUAAAUAGUCAUGGGAGCCCACAGAUUUUCGGGCUCCUCCAAUUAAAUAAAUUUUGCUGGACUUCUCCCUCUUCUGUGCCAAGGACAGAGUAUAAGGAACCUGAAAGAUCAGGUUUAGGUUGGUCAGGAAAUUCUCAGGUGAACACUCCACUGGCGGCAAGGUGUGUUAGCCCUUUUAAUCUAGGAGGGAGAUCCCUACCUAAGAGAUUGACAGGAACUGAUUGACACAACAAAAAGGAAUGUUUUUCAGUAAGAGGCCUGAGUCAUUCGUACUCGUAGAGAUAAAAAUUGUCUCUGAAUUUUAACAGACGCCCCACCCUACCCCCAACUCUGGAAACCUCCUUUUUACUUAAGUGUUUGUCAUCUUGAGGGUGGGGUUUAAGGCAGAGUGUAACUCCAGUAUCUAUUACAGUUUGCCAAGGUUUCUCAUUAAUCUUAACUUUGGUUUUUCCUUGGCAACUUAAGGGAAUUUCUGAUAAUAGUUUUGCAGAGCAGCCUCCAGAAUCUCUUCAGCUGUGUGAAGGGCUCUCCUCUGAAGGUCACUAUGAGGCCACCGGAGAAGAAUUUGCAUAGGACCUUUGAGGACAAGCUCUUUUCCAGUGCCCCAGUGGAUUACAGCUGCGACCUUGAUCUUUGCACCAGCUUGAUCAUUAUCCAGCCAGCGUCUGGAUAAUGGACCCUACCUAGCAAGGUGCAGUGGGGGAGGCCCAGGUGUUGUUUUGGGUCUCUGGCCUUGGAGUUGUAAAGCUAAUAGCUUGGCAGAUUUUUGUUUGCAAUCUUACUCCAGGGUCCUUUGAAAAUGCUCAGCUGUAGUCAUGAGUUCAGUCAGACUGGUGGCCUCCCAUCCUACUUUCUGCCUUUGUAUUGAUCCACUAAUCUCAGCAGAUAAUCCAUAUACAAAGAGGGCAGCCAGAGCAGACUGGGUGACCUUAUUUAUUGCAUGGAACCCCAAAUGCCAUAGAGAAAGGACUACAAACAGCCUUUAAAGUCUGCCCGAGAGUCAUCUCUUUUUGUUUGUAAGUUCAUAUAAUAGACCAAUAAAGACGAGCAGGGAAGACUCUAGAAGUGGCUUAUAAAAAUUUGGCUGUGGGGCACCUGAGUGGCUCAGUCUGGUUAAGCACGUGCCUUUGGCUCAGGUCAUGAUCCUGGAGUCCUGGGAUCGAGCCCCAUGUCAGGGCUUCCUGCUAGCGGGAAGU
Molecule: long non-coding RNA, 3336 nt
Organism: Canis lupus familiaris (dog)
Lineage: Eukaryota; Metazoa; Chordata; Mammalia; Carnivora; Canidae
Exons: 6
Source: RefSeq, a predicted model, not a curated record